UUGGAGGGCAAGUCUGGUGCCAGCAGCCGCGGUAAUUCCAGCUCCAAUAGCGUAUAUUAAAGUUGUUGCAGUUAAAAAGCUCGUAGUUGAAUUUCGGGGUCAGUAGGUUGGUCAUGCCACUGGUAUGUACUGGUCUCACUGAUUCCUCCUUCCUGAUGAGCCGUAAUGCCAUUAAUUUGGUGUUGCGAGGAAUCUGGACUGUUACUUUGAAAAAAUUAGAGUGUUUAAAGCAGGCUAACGCUUGAAUACAUUAGCAUGGAAUAAUGAAAUAGGACGUUCGAUCUUAUUUUGUUGGUUUCUAAGAUUGACGUAAUGAUUAAUAGGGAUAGUUGGGGGCAUUAGUAUUCAAUUGUCAGAGGUGAAAUUCUUGGAUUUAUUGAAGACUAACUACUGCGAAAGCAUUUGCCAAGGAUGUUUUCAUUAAUCAAGAACGAAAGUUAGGGGAUCGAAGACGAUCAGAUACCGUCGUAGUCUUAACCAUAAACUAUGCCGACUAGGGAUCGGAUGAUGUUAAUUUUUUUAAUGACUCAUUCGGCGCCUUACGGGAAACCAAAGUGUUUGGGUUC
This 566-nucleotide ribosomal RNA is filed under the name uncultured Glomus. Its description in RNAcentral is "SSU rRNA". It matches the Rfam family "Eukaryotic small subunit ribosomal RNA", at positions 548 to 1114 of the family's 1831-position model. Lineage: Eukaryota; Fungi; Glomeromycota; Glomeromycetes; Glomerales; Glomeraceae. The record is from RNAcentral.